This 64-nucleotide microRNA precursor is filed under the name Danio rerio (zebrafish). RNAcentral's name for it is "Dre-Mir-142-P2-v4_pre stem-loop". It matches the Rfam family "mir-142 microRNA precursor family", at positions 14 to 75 of the family's 85-position model. Lineage: Eukaryota; Metazoa; Chordata; Actinopteri; Cypriniformes; Danionidae. The record is from RNAcentral.
UCCAUAAAGUAGAAAGCACUACUAAACCCCUCGCCACAGUGUAGUGUUUCCUACUUUAUGGAUG